RNAcentral lists this transfer RNA (65 nucleotides) under Ptychoptera qinggouensis. RNAcentral's name for it is "tRNA-Ile". The record is from RNAcentral. Lineage: Eukaryota; Metazoa; Arthropoda; Insecta; Diptera; Ptychopteridae.
AAUGAAUUGCCUGAUUAAAGGGCUACCUUGAUAGGGUAAAUAAAAUAGAUAUUCUAUAUUCAUUA